AUUCAAAUAAUUCCACAAAUCAAAAUCAAUUUCUAAUAACAUAUUUGAACUAAAAGAUGAAAAAAUCAACAAAAACUUAAGAGUACAUCAUCCACAGUACUGAUCACUGAUGAGUGCAAAUCUUUUCUCACAUACAAUAUAUCACUAACACAAGUUCAUUCCUUACUGCAUGUCACGUCAAUAUAUUUACAUGGAGGAAGGUUGCCUUCGGUCCUUUGGAACAGCGGCAUAUAUUCUUGGGGCUAGGUAGGCAAAGCAUCUCUGGCCUAUUCGUUUUUCUGCUCUUGGGGUGAGGUAUUGAUUUGUUUUGUUUCGUGUUUCAUAUUCACACUCAGUUAGUUGGAGUUGAAUUUUUUGUUCACUUAUGCCAAUUAAAAUCUGCAGAACAAAUAAUUGGUGAGGAUUCAUGACCCUGGAAACAGCAAACAAUUCGUCUGAUGGAUAUAGAAGAGGCUUUCCGUAGAUGAUUCGAAGCAACCAUUUCUGGACCACCUCCACCCUCCUUACAUGACAAGUAUAUGCUCCGCCCCAACCUAUUAUCCCAUAUCCUAUUUGGGACUGACAUAAAGCUGAGUAUAUCAUCAUUAAGCUCUUUGUAUCCAAAUACUUUUUCAGAUAUCUAAACUUGGUAAGUAAACAUCUUAAUUUGAUCACCAAGAUAUCAAUAUGUUUACUCCAUUUUAGAUGUCGAUCAAUUGUAACUCCUAGAUAUUUUAUGUUUUCAGCUUCGGGAAUUGAUGUUUCAUUGUCAACUUCUAAAUUGCCCAUAUGUGGAAGUCCUGAUUGGUAAGCAGCAAAUGGCCUAGUUUUUCCGCAGAGAUCAUCUACAUAUAACCAUAGAGAUCUCGCCUUUGAAGUGUUCUCUGUUACGAAGCUAUUCAUAUAAUCUUUUUUUGCGGUUUUUAUCAAUUUCUGUAAAACAUUUCGAUACCUUGAAUAUUGAAUCUUCAACCUCCCAUUAAGUGGGUCUUUGAUGGUUUUCUUAUAUAAUCUAUUUUUUUCAUUUAUUGCCUUCAAAAGACCUGGUGUAAUCCAGUCCUUCUUAACUAAUUUUUUACAUGAAAAUUUAAUGCUUGUUGUAUUUUUUUCUGUAUAAUAAGUUAAUGAAUCAAUAAAAGCUUCUGCAAAAGAGUUUACAUCUUUAUUUUCAAUCAUUUUAUCCCAAUUUAUUCUUCCAAGAUCCUCUUUCAAUCUGCCAUAAUCAACAUAACUUUUAUAUUUUUGAGCUUUUUCUCCUUGGAUUUUUUCAAUAUCUAGGCACAAUAAUAUCGCACAGUGAUCGGUAAUAUCUGAACGAAGAAUGAAUGCACUAUUUUUAUCUCCAGUGGGAUCACGACGACCAAGAAAGAUAUGAUCCAAACAACUACCACUGGAAGGUCUGGUU
This is a long non-coding RNA of Harmonia axyridis, 1384 nucleotides long. RefSeq lists it as uncharacterized. The transcript is spliced from 3 exons. The record is from RefSeq and is a predicted model, not a curated record. Lineage: Eukaryota; Metazoa; Arthropoda; Insecta; Coleoptera; Coccinellidae.